This 157-nucleotide unclassified non-coding RNA is filed under the name soil metagenome. RNAcentral's name for it is "partial internal transcribed spacer 1". The record is from RNAcentral.
CCGAGUUUACAACUCCCAAACCCAUGUGAACAUAGCCUACUGUUGCUUCGGCGGGAUUGCCCCGGGCGCCUCGUGUGCCCCGGAUCAGGCGCCCGCCUAGGAGACUUAACUCUUGUUUUAUUUUGGAAUCUUCUGAGUAGUUUUUACAAAUAAAUAA